Long non-coding RNA from Triticum aestivum (bread wheat), 3697 nucleotides. RefSeq lists it as uncharacterized. The transcript is spliced from 5 exons. The record is from RefSeq and is a predicted model, not a curated record. Lineage: Eukaryota; Viridiplantae; Streptophyta; Magnoliopsida; Poales; Poaceae.
CCCCUCCUCCUCCUCUCACGAGUCACGCCCGACCCCCUCCUCCUCCUCUCCUCCUCCUCCCGUCCUUCCUCAAAACCCUAGCCGCCGCCCCCCUCCUCCUCCCACCUCAGUCGCCGCCGCCUCCUCCUCCUCCUCCUCCUCCCACCUCAGUCGCCUCCUAGGAGAGCUCGACACGAUGGGGUGGCCGUGGAGCACGCCCCGUCCGGAGAGACAAGGCGGCUCCCGAGCAGGGCAUCCGACAGCGCUGGCUUCUCCUCCCCUACGCCGCCGCUGCCCACCCCUCCUCAUCUCGUGCGGGCACGGAGGUGAGCUUCUCCGAUGGCGGCAGCGACCUGCAGUCAAAGGGCGACGGCGACGGCGCUCGAUUUGAUCUACAGGAGAGAGGGAAGAUGAGACGGAGAGAGAGAAGGAAGGAGAGGAGGUAGAAAUAGAGAGGAAAGAGGAGAGGGAUGUGCGCCAGCCAGCGGGAGAGGGUCACCGGAAGGAACAACUGGUCAUUGUUCACACCGCGCUAGGCCAGAGAUGGCUCUGUACUGCCCACACGUAUGCAGAGUACACAAGUGGUUGCCCUUGAAGUCUCCUCCUUGCCCCGCUUAUUCAUUAAGAUCAACAGGGGGGAGGUCCAGGGUGAGACCUUCAAGAGGGAUUUGAUGUUGCUAUUAUUUCAGUUUGUAGAUAGAGGAUGUGAUUCCAGCAAGACAGUGACGAUGGCGAUCACAAGUGAGAUUUAUGUUAAGGAGUAUUAGCAUAUGCUCAUAGGAUCACUAGAAGCAUAUAAAGGUAUCCACAAUGAUGGUUGCUUUCUUAUCGACAAAGAAUUGAAUUAUAAUUAUAGACGGUAAGAGUAGUACCUUUAUAAUCAUAGCUGUAUGCAAUGAUCCAUCAUGUAUUUCUGUUUAAAACCGCAACCCGUAAUUGUUUGAUGUCGUGAAAUGUCUAUAUAUAUAUAUAUAUAUAUAUAUAUAUAUAUAUAUAUAUAUUGUUUACAUUCUUAAGUUAGCCUCCAGACUAUCUACAUUGUCAUGGUAACCUUGGUAGGUUAUAAUAUGCAGAUCGAUAAUCCCGAUUCAGUUUGAGCUUUCCAUGUGUCUUUUUAGCUGAAUAUUAGGAUCACAACUUAACUUAAAUUAGCAGUAUAGUGUCAAUGGGCGUCAUCUGAAGCUAAUAAGAUGUUGUUACUGAAGAACAGCCCCUUGCUACUUACUUGCACAGUACGUGAAAAACACCCUAAAUAGAUUAAAGAAAUCAUACUUGACUGUGAUUGCAUUUGGUUGACGCUUACGUUUAUUUCUCAUCGGUAGAUCAAGGGGGUAAUCUUCUACGUUUCAGGUCCAAGCUUUCAAUGCAUUUUUCUAUCUUUUUUUCAUAUCCCAAUCAUCAUUUGCAAGGCCGAAGCAUGCAUGUCUAUAUGGUUUUGUGGCACUGAUUUCGUUCCAUGCCAGUUUAUUUCCAGCAGUUGGUCUGCUUCUUCAUAGAGAUUUUAUCAGUAUACUAAAUUAAAUAAGAAACUGAAUGUGUAUUGCUUUCACCUUCAGUUUGAACAUGAUUGUCCUAUUUGUGACAUAGGUGAAAAUUAGCAAGCAAGCUACAGUCGGUGCAUGGAUGACCAAGUUUACUUGUUACUUUAUGAAGAUGAUGAUUCCUAAAUAGAAUUACGAGCUAUGUCCUGCAUGUUGACCGUGCUUCAAGGGUAGAAGAGAAUGGGAGGAGGGGACGCGUGCUCCAUAUUUUGUUAUGCACACCUUCCUAAACUAUACUUUUCUUCUUAACAUAUGUUCAUUGUCUAGCAGAAGCUGUAGAUUUCAGCGUACAAUAAUUUCCAAAAUGGUAGAAGGCAUUCAAGACCUGGCAGGGCUGGGUCAACCGGCCCUUCGUGUUCAAGACCCGGCUCUGAUGAGCCUUGACAGUCGUGCUACCGGCUGGGCAUCGUCAUCCUGAGCCAUGUCCGGAACCAGACCAGUAGGGGCACCCUAAGCGAGCACUCGAGGCAUGCUGUCAAGUUGGACGAGUGCAACCAAGCCAGCUGUUGUGUGUGUCCAUGGUUACAUUGUUGUAUUGUUGGUUAAAGACAAUGUUUUUCUUCUUGAAUUAUGAAACCUCGAACAACAGUAGGAUAUAAUCAUUUUGUUCGUUUUGCAAUCAAAGCUUCCAUCGAAUAAUAUUUUAGAAUUGUGCUCCGUCUUAUUCAUAAACUGUGGCUAUUUUGUAGAUUCAUACAAGAUACGGCUUUGUGUGCAUUGAAAUAGCAACAAGUUGGCCUCUCGGUCUCAUUUCUGUAUACAUUUGACUCAUACACGCAGCCAGCAUGUCCAUGUGAUCUGGAUGAAUUUCUCUAUCCUGUUUUAUGUUGUGAUGUCUUUGAUUUUUGUCUCUUCCAGAUUUACAUAUAGAUGCCUCGGUGAAUACUCAAGAAUUUUUGUUCAUUUCUAUUGACGGCCUUUAGGUAUUUUAUAUUUAUUUUUAUAAUGAUUCUGAAACGAGGUCACUCCCUACUAAUCUUGCUCUCCAGGCCUGGUGGCGGGAUGCUUGGUCAAGAAUGCAGGGUGAGUAAAACAAAAUGCUUUUAUCUCUCUGGUCAUCUAGAGCAUAUGGAGGGAGCAAGAUAGCGGGCUUUGACAGUGUCUUCACACCGCCCCAGAGGGGGUGCCACUGAGGGCUUUCUCAUGGAACACGGUGCAAUGUGGUUUUAUGCACGCCUAUGAGCAGGCUACCCUGCACGCUGGUCUUCUACUACUUUCCCAGGCAUAUUACUUCCCUGUGAGAUGCUUCCAAGAGCUCUAUUCAGCUCCAUUGUAUUUUUCUUCUUUUUUUGAUUGCUUUUCCUUCUCUGUUUCUUUUUUAUAUGCAAGGCCAUACAUUUUUACCAUGCAUCCUUGCUCACACAGAAAAUUACUUCAAAAUACACAUGCUUCUAAAAAUGCACAUCCUUUUCAAAACUAUGUAUAUCUUAUUAUCAAAGAUUAUAAGGCAGAAUGUGUUUGCCCACGACUAAAACAAGUAAUACAUUGUACUUUUUUCAAAGCACACGUGGAAUUAGCGGGCUCCUUCAGGUAUUUCAAGGGAAAAACAGAAUCUGUUUAACUAAUUUUCUAUAUUGCUUAUUUAUGCAUUUGUGACCAUAGCUUUCCACUUUAGCUCAUAAACUGGAUGGCAAAAUAGAGUUUGCCCAUUUCAUAUCUAUGUUGUCUUAUUAGGAAAAAAGAUUUUGUUUAAUAGCUGAUGCUUAAUAUGUUUUAUCGACUGUUGAAUGCUCAACUUUAGCUCAUAAACUGGAUGGCAAAUGCUAAUUCUGAUGGGGCUUUUCACACUUAUUGUUUUAUUGUUGUCUAGACAGCUGAUGGCAUGCUUCUUUUUUGCUAAUUGUCAAUUCUUUUGUACAGGGUCCUUCAGCUACUUAUGCUUUGGUAGACAAUGAGAGUAUGUAGAUAGCAUGUAUGGUUUUUACAUUGUUUUGCGCAGGUUGAGAUGCAUCACAUGAUGUUUUCCUUUUACGUUUAUGAGUAUUACAUAGUCCUUUCUUUUUCCACAAGGGGCAGUAGUUGUGCCAUUUUAUUCGAAGGACAAAGAGUUGAUCACAAAGGCAUAGCAUUCAGGAUAUAUACACAAAAGAGUAUAGAACCAAAUUAUAUGAUGUAAUUGACCACUUCCUAUUAACUUCUCUUGUAUACAAUGUUCACGAGUUCAUGUAUUAAGUACA